This 762-nucleotide ribosomal RNA is filed under the name uncultured Bacteroidales bacterium. Its description in RNAcentral is "bacterial SSU rRNA". It matches the Rfam family "Bacterial small subunit ribosomal RNA", at positions 28 to 784 of the family's 1533-position model. The record is from RNAcentral. Lineage: Bacteria; Pseudomonadati; Bacteroidota; Bacteroidia; Bacteroidales.
GAUGAACGCUAGCGGCAGGCCUAACACAUGCAAGUCGAGGGGCAUCACGAGGUAGCAAUACUUUGGUGGCGACCGGCGCACGGGUGCGUAACGCGUAUGUAACCUACCUAUAACAGGGGCAUAACACUGAGAAAUUGGUACUAAUUCCCCAUAAUAUUCGGAGAGGCAUCUCUCCGGGUUGAAAACUCCGGUGGUUAUAGAUGGACAUGCGUUGUAUUAGCUAGUUGGUGAGGUAACGGCUCACCAAGGCAACGAUACAUAGGGGGACUGAGAGGUUAACCCCCCACACUGGUACUGAGACACGGACCAGACUCCUACGGGAGGCAGCAGUGAGGAAUAUUGGUCAAUGGACGCAAGUCUGAACCAGCCAUGCCGCGUGCAGGAAGACGGCUCUAUGAGUUGUAAACUGCUUUUGUACGAGGGUAAACUCACCUACGUGUAGGUGACUGAAAGUAUCGUACGAAUAAGGAUCGGCUAACUCCGUGCCAGCAGCCGCGGUAAUACGGAGGAUUCAAGCGUUAUCCGGAUUUAUUGGGUUUAAAGGGUGCGUAGGCGGUUUGAUAAGUUAGAGGUGAAAUCCCGGGGCUUAACUCCGGAACUGCCUCUAAUACUGUUAGACUAGAGAGUAGUUGCGGUAGGCGGAAUGUAUGGUGUAGCGGUGAAAUGCUUAGAGAUCAUACAGAACACCGAUUGCGAAGGCAGCUUACCAAACUAUAUCUGACGUUGAGGCACGAAAGCGUGGGGAGCAAACAGGAUUAGAUA